GUGACCAUAUCAUAUAACACUGCUUCUCAUAUGAUCACCAAAGUUAAGCAAUGUCAAGCCUGGUCAGUAUCUAGAUGGGUGAUCAUUUGGGAAUAUCAGGUGCUGUAAG
Molecule: non-coding RNA, 109 nt
Organism: Acanthosepion pharaonis
Lineage: Eukaryota; Metazoa; Mollusca; Cephalopoda; Sepiida; Sepiidae
Source: the annotation of a GenBank genome assembly